RNAcentral lists this ribosomal RNA (481 nucleotides) under uncultured bacterium. RNAcentral describes it as "partial 16S ribosomal RNA". It matches the Rfam family "Bacterial small subunit ribosomal RNA", at positions 28 to 507 of the family's 1533-position model. The record is from RNAcentral.
GAUGAACGCUGGCGGCGUGCCUAACACAUCCAAGUCGAACGGAGAUUACGGACGGAAGUUUUCGGAUGGAAGCCUGUAAUUCUUAGUGGCGGACGGGUGAGUAACGCGUGGGCAACCUGCCCUAUACAGGGGGAUAGCAGCUGGAAACGGCUGGUAAGACCGCAUAAGUCGGUUAAAUCGCAUGAUUUGAUCGGGAAAUGAGCAAUCAGGUAUAGGAUGGGCCCGCGUCCGAUUAGCCAGUUGGCAGGGUAAAAGCCUACCAAAGCGACGAUCGGUAGCCGGACUGAGAGGUCGGACGGCCACAUUGGGACUGAGACACGGCCCAAACUCCUACGGGAGGCAGCAGUGGGGGAUAUUGCACAAUGGAGGAAACUCUGAUGCAGCGACGCCGCGUGAGUGAAGAAGUAUUUCGGUAUGUAAAGCUCUAUCAGCAGGGAAGAUGAUGACGGUACCUGACUAAGAAGCCCCGGCUAACUACGUG